GACGAACCGUGCGACCGUUGUUCGGAAUCACUGGGCUUAAAGGGCGCGUAGGCGGCUUGCCAAGUCAGUGGUGAAAUCCUGCAGCUUAACUGCAGAAGUGCCUUUGAUACUGGCGAGCUCGAGGGAGGUAGGGGUAUGUGGAACUUCUGGUGAAGCGGUGAAAUGCGUUGAUAUCAGAAGGAACGCCGGUGGCGAAAGCGACGUACUGGACCUCUUCUGACGCUGAGGCGCGAAAGCUAGGGGAGCAAACGGG
This 253-nucleotide ribosomal RNA is filed under the name uncultured bacterium. RNAcentral describes it as "partial 16S ribosomal RNA". It matches the Rfam family "Bacterial small subunit ribosomal RNA", at positions 524 to 776 of the family's 1533-position model. The record is from RNAcentral.